RNAcentral lists this unclassified non-coding RNA (299 nucleotides) under uncultured fungus. RNAcentral describes it as "partial contains 18S rRNA, ITS1, 5.8S rRNA, ITS2 and 28S rRNA". Lineage: Eukaryota; Fungi. The record is from RNAcentral.
AAGGAUCAUUACCUAGAGUUUGCGGGCUUUGCCUGCUAUCUCUUACCCAUGUCUUUUGAGUACUUACGUUUCCUCGGUGGGUUCGCCCGCCGAUUGGACAAUUUAAACCCUUUGCAGUUGCAAUCAGCGUCUGAAAAAAAUUAAUAAUUACAACUUUCAACAACGGAUCUCUUGGUUCUGGCAUCGAUGAAGAACGCAGCGUAGCCACAAGGCAUCGAUGUGGAAGUAAAAGUCGUAACAAGGCAUCGAUGAAGAACGCAGCGUAGCCACAUCGAUGUGGAAGUAAAAGUCGUAACAAG